UACGGGGGGGGCAAGCGUUGUCCGGAAUUAUUGGGCGUAAAGGGCUCGUAGGCGGUCUGUUGCGUCGGGAGUGAAAACUCAGGGCUUAACCCUGAGCCUGCUUCCGAUACGGGCAGACUAGAGGUAGGCAGGGGAGAGCGGAACUCCUGGUGUAGCGGUGGAAUGCGCAGAUAUCAGGAGGAACACCAAUGGCGAAGGCAGCUCGCUGGGACGGUACUGACGCUGAGACGCGAAAGCGUGGGGGAGCAAACAGG
Molecule: ribosomal RNA, 254 nt
Filed under: uncultured bacterium
Lineage: Bacteria
Description: partial 16S ribosomal RNA
Rfam family: Bacterial small subunit ribosomal RNA
Source: RNAcentral